UGGACCACAGCAUCUUCGGAAUUUGUAGACAUCCUGGCAGCUUACAAUUAGUUCGAGGUGAGACACUGAAUUUGAGCAGAAACCAUAAGGAUACUCAAAGGACCUGUGACUCUCAGGAAAUGCAUCAAAUGAGAGGGACAGAUGAAACAGUUUCAAGACAAUGGCAGGAAAAACAUGCUGAAGAUUGAAACAAACCUUGGCUGGAAAUAUUUG
Molecule: long non-coding RNA, 213 nt
Organism: Pelmatolapia mariae (spotted tilapia)
Lineage: Eukaryota; Metazoa; Chordata; Actinopteri; Cichliformes; Cichlidae
Exons: 3
Source: RefSeq, a predicted model, not a curated record